UGAAUUUUUGUGUGAAUUCUUAAAAGAAUUCAGAAGUUCUGAUUGAUUGAUUUAAAAAAAGGUUAGAGCUCUACAAGGAUCUUCCUGGCUUCUCAGCUAGCACUAAAUCACCUGAGCAGCUAGUUGGUAUCCAUUACUGGAAGCAGAGCAACAAUGACAACAGCAGAGACAAUAGUUAACCAACCAAUAGAGAAAAAGUAGCUCUUAGAGAGAGGAAACCCUGGAAAGAAAGAGUCCAUUCACAUGGAUCAGGCUAGGCUCAGUGGAGCUCUGCCCCCAAAUAAAGACUUUCAUCCGGAGCUGGCAUUCUUGUUCUGAUGAUUACAAUAGCAAGGCGGAGAGGUGGGACUGAAUCUGUUGUACAAACUAACAACCUAAUGAAGAUCUAAAUUUGCUCGUUAUCCCUUGAAACAGCAGUUAGGAGGUACAGAGGGGAAGGGAUAUUGUUGUUCUUUUGCUCACUCGGCAAGGAGAAGGAAGCAAUUUAAAUAAAAUAUCUGACAAAUAAACUGGUGGGAAUUUG
RNAcentral lists this long non-coding RNA (523 nucleotides) under Monodelphis domestica (gray short-tailed opossum). RNAcentral's name for it is "lncRNA (ENSMODG00000035018.2)". The record is from RNAcentral. Lineage: Eukaryota; Metazoa; Chordata; Mammalia; Didelphimorphia; Didelphidae.